CCUACGGGAGGCAGCAGGAGGGAAUAGUGCGCAAUGGGGGAAACCCGGAAGCAGCAACGCCGCGUGGAGGAUGAAGGUGUUCGGAGGGGAAACUCCUGGUGGUAGAGAAGAAAAUGACGGUAGCUAACGAAUAAGCACCGGCUAACGCCGGGCCAGCAGCCGCGGUAAGACGGAGGGGGCAAGCGUUACUCGGAAUCACUGGGCGUAAAGAGCGCGGAGGCGGGAUAGCAAGUCAGAUGUGAAAUCCUAUGGCUUAACCAUAGAACUGCUUUUGAAACUGUUAUUCUAGAGUAUGGGAGAGGUAGGUGGAAUUCUUGGUGUAGUGGUGAAAUCCGUAGUGAUCAGGAGGAAUACUCGUUGCGAAGGCGACCUGCUAGAACAUAACUGACGCUGAUGCGCGAAAGCGUGGGGAGCAAACAGGAUUAGAUACCCGGGUAGUC
RNAcentral lists this ribosomal RNA (440 nucleotides) under uncultured bacterium. RNAcentral's name for it is "partial 16S ribosomal RNA". It matches the Rfam family "Bacterial small subunit ribosomal RNA", at positions 338 to 795 of the family's 1533-position model. The record is from RNAcentral.